AGAUGGAUCAUUCACAAUACUUAUGUCAGUUUUUGGUAAAAAAAAAAUUUAUUUUUUUUUGUCUUGAUGAGCGAAAAUAAUGACUUUGGUUAAACUUGAAACUCGAAUAUAAUGAAGUUGGUUUAUCGAAACGAAUGAUAUUUAGAGCGAAUUUAACUUAUACCUUUCAGCGAUGGAUGUCUCGGAUCUUGUAACGAUGAAGAACGCAGCUAGCUGUGACAUGCAGUGUGACAUGCGAACUUCUGUGAAUCAUUAGAUUUUUGAACGCAAACGGUACUUCUAAAUUUAUUUAGGAGUAUGUUCAAUUCAGUGCUUUAAUAUAUUUAUUGAUCCAAUUGGGGGUCAAUGUGAAUAGUUGCUGUUAUGACGGCUGCUGUAAUCUGAUGGUUGUAGGUUUUAGGUGACAAUUUAAAAACUAUAACCGUGGUAUUUUAAUCAUAAGCCUGAAUUUGGAUGAGUCUACCCGCUGAACUUAAGCAUAUUAUUAAGCGGAGGAAAAGAAACUAACUAGGAUUUCCUUAGUAACUGCGAGUGAAAAGGAAAUAGCUCAAACUGGAAAUCGAUAGUUUACUAUCGAAUUGUAGUCUCAUGAAGUGCAGCCUGUGAAUGUUCUGAAUUAAGUCUCUUGGAAAAGAGUACCGAAGAGGGUGAAAGUCCCGUCUUUAUUCAGCAGUAUUUACUUUCGGUGCAUUUUCAAAGAGUCGUGCUCCUUGAGAUUGGAGCGCUAAGUGGGUGAUAAAUUUCAUCUAAAGCUAAAUAUUAACGAGAUUCCGAUAGCAUACAAGUACCGUGAGGGAACGAUGAAAAGAACUUUGAAAAGAGAGUUAAAAGGUACUGAAAUUGCUGAAAAGGAAGUGGAGAGUUUCAAUGGUUUAGUGAAAUUUCUCAUGUGCUCUGGGUACUCUUACUCAUGCGCAUGUGAAGGAAUUUUGCAAUGACUCUGGAAGUGAUUAUUCUAAGUGUUCAGGCAUUAAAUGAUAUGGUUCUAUUUUAGGACCAUGUCACUUAGUGUUUUAAUACGCCGAAUGAUUUAUGUAAUUCUAGUUUAAUUGUUUAUGAUUGAACUAUACUUUUCCAGAUAUAUUGAUUCUCUCCUUCCCGUCUUGAAACACGGACCAAGGAGUCUAUUUCGCGUGCGAGUACAAGGGUUGAAAACCUACGUGCGAAAUUAAAGUAAUAGUCAAGAUGGUUUUACCUGCAUUGACACUCGGUUAUCAGACCGAAGUUGAGCACACGGAAUAGGACCCGAAAGAUGGUGAACUAUGCCUGAGUAGGGUGAAGCUAGAGGAAACUCUGGUGGAAGCUCGUAGCGAUACUGACGUGCAAAUCGUUCGUCAAACUUUGGUAUAGGGGCGAAAGACCAAUCGAACCAUCUAGUAGCUGGUUCCCUC
This 1391-nucleotide unclassified non-coding RNA is filed under the name uncultured fungus. RNAcentral describes it as "sequence contains 18S rRNA gene, ITS1, 5.8S rRNA gene, ITS2, 28S rRNA gene". The stretch from base 440 to 1391 matches the Rfam family "Eukaryotic large subunit ribosomal RNA", at positions 1 to 961 of the family's 3401-position model. Lineage: Eukaryota; Fungi. The record is from RNAcentral.